CCUACGGGGGGCUGCAGUGGGGAGUAUUGGACAAUGGGGGCAACCCUGAUCCAGCCAUGCCGCGUGUGUGAAGAAGGCCCUCGGGUUGUAAAGCACUUUCAGUGAGGAAGAACGCCUGGUGGUUAAUACCCAUCAGGAAAGACAUCACUCACAGAAGAAGCACCGGCUAACUCCGUGCCAGCAGCCGCGGUAAUACGGAGGGUGCGAGCGUUAAUCGGAAUUACUGGGCGUAAAGCGCGCGUAGGUGGCUUGAUAAGCCGGUUGUGAAAGCCCCGGGCUCAACCUGGGAACGGCAUCCGGAACUGUCAAGCUAGAGUGCAGGAGAGGAAGGUAGAAUUCCCGGUGUAGCGGUGAAAUGCGUAGAGAUCGGGAGGAAUACCAGUGGCGAAGGCGGCCUUCUGGACUGACACUGACACUGAGGUGCGAAAGCGUGGGUAGCAAACAGGAUUAGAUACCCCAGUAGUC
Molecule: ribosomal RNA, 465 nt
Filed under: Vreelandella stevensii
Lineage: Bacteria; Pseudomonadati; Pseudomonadota; Gammaproteobacteria; Oceanospirillales; Halomonadaceae
Description: partial 16S ribosomal RNA
Rfam family: Bacterial small subunit ribosomal RNA
Source: RNAcentral